Molecule: long non-coding RNA, 1584 nt
Organism: Globicephala melas (long-finned pilot whale)
Lineage: Eukaryota; Metazoa; Chordata; Mammalia; Artiodactyla; Delphinidae
Source: RefSeq, a predicted model, not a curated record
AAGAUGCAGAGAGCGAAGAGAGUCUUGUAGACCAUGGUACCCUGGUGCUUGGUGCCGAACCCGGCGCGGGCAGCGGGAGAGUUUGCCGGGACUGACCGAGCGCCCAGAGCGCGGGCAGCUCCUCCUCUGUCCGCUGGCUGCGGUGGGAGCCGGGCGACCGGGCGGCGGUAGGGGAAGCUAGGCGAGCGCCGCGCGGCUCCGUCAGCUGCUUGUACUCCGGCGCCCGGCGCGCUUCUGCUCCAUCCCAGCCGCCCGGGCCGCCUCCGCCGCCGCGACUGCUGCCGCCAAACCCCUCCCACCCGGGUCCCGCGGAGAUGACAAGGCCACCCCUGGCCUUUCCUCUCCCAGCCCUCGUGUCCCGGGAGUCGCGGCCCAGGGCGGCCUCUGCUGGACAGUCAGGGCGCGAGACCCGAGUUUCGACCCGGUUCAGCAAAUGUUUGGGGCGGCUAGCGCUGUGCUGGGAACUAAGGGGAGGCAGAGAAGUGGGAGCAGAUUUCUGCCCUCAGGAAUUUACCUCAGCUUUUCUUACAGGAGUAACAACCUUCAAACACGUGACCGCGUGCCAUCUUAGGUGUCACCUCGAAGAGCCAAGACCCCACUACGGCACAUAAUCAAGGAAAACUCUGAGGUCAUGGAUAUACCUUCAACUUGAAAUGAAAUUCAAGGAUGAGGACCCUUGCACUGAGAGACGCCAGUGAUAUGAAGGCACGGAGAAGACUGUGUGAGGACACAAGGAGAAGAUGGCCAUCUGUCAGCCAAGGAGAGAGGCCUCAGGACAAACCAACCUUGUCAACACCUUGAUCUUGGACUUCUAGCCUCCAGAACUGGCACCAGGUGGCAGCUCCAAGAAGAGGAAAAUCGUUUUCAGAGCUCCCUGCUGGCUCAAUCAACGCUUUUCAGUUCUCUUAAUGAGAUGGUUAACCUCUUUUCUCAUUUAACCAAUCGGUCAACAAAACUUUGAUGGCUCUUACAGGAGUUGUUUAUGAUUUUCACUCAUACAGGUAUUAACGCCAUUGCCCUUAGAUUGACAAACAGGAAUUCAACUAAUCCUCCAGCUCUGGUUGGAAAUAGAUCCCCUUAUGGAUCUUCUACCCCAUAAAUUCUGCUAAAUUCCUGGCUGGGGCGUAACGAACAUUGCUACUUAGUCAUUUUCAGAGAAAAAGAAAUGAAAUCUGACUGGCAUACAUUAACCUGUGUGUGUGUGCUUCUUAAACACAUGUGCAAAGACACACUGACUUAUUCAUCUGACUAUUACCUUAUCUGACUUUAAAUAUGAAUGUGCAUAGCGGACUAUGGUUAAGUGAAUAUUACAUUUUUUUUAGUUAUUAAGCAGUUCUUCCUCUUCUGUCAGUCAUGUUUUAGGAAGGAUUUCAAUAAAUACUCAUUGGCUGUUUUUAUGUUUUGGUGCUUUUGUCUAAGUAAAACAUUCUCAAAAUAACAUUCACUGGGAGAUAGGACUCAAUGCAGAAAUAUUCGCUUUAAACGUACCCUUUUGUAUAUAACGCAAGGUCAUGUUCUAUUGUCAUAAUGAUCUUUAAGAUGUGGUGGAUGGAGUAUUUAGAGCGGGAGUUACAGAAAAUCAGG